GACGAACGCUGGCGGCGUGCUUAACACAUGCAAGUCGAACGGAAAGGCCCUGCUUUUGUGGGGUGCUCGAGUGGCGAACGGGUGAGUAACACGUGAGUAACCUGCCCUUGACUUUGGGAUAACUUCAGGAAACUGGGGCUAAUACCGGAUAGGAGCUCCUGCUGCAUGGUGGGGGUUGGAAAGUUUCGGCGGUUGGGGAUGGACUCGCGGCUUAUCAGCUUGUUGGUGGGGUAGUGGCUUACCAAGGCUUUGACGGGUAGCCGGCAUGAGAGGGUGACCGGCCACAAUGGGACUGAGAUACGGCCCAGACUCCUACGGGAGGCAGCAGGGGGGAAUAUUGCACAAUGGGCGGAAGCCUGAUGCAGCAACGCCGCGUGCGGGAUGAAGGCCUUCGGGUUGUAAACCGAUUUCGCCUGUGACGAAGCGUGAGUGACGGUAAUGGGUAAAGAAGCACCGGCUAACUACGUG
This 468-nucleotide ribosomal RNA is filed under the name uncultured bacterium. RNAcentral describes it as "partial 16S ribosomal RNA". It matches the Rfam family "Bacterial small subunit ribosomal RNA", at positions 28 to 507 of the family's 1533-position model. The record is from RNAcentral.